This 376-nucleotide unclassified non-coding RNA is filed under the name uncultured Thermoleophilia bacterium. RNAcentral describes it as "contains 16S-23S intergenic spacer region". Lineage: Bacteria; Bacillati; Actinomycetota; Thermoleophilia. The record is from RNAcentral.
UCCGGUUUGUCACCGGCAGUCUCGCAUGAGUCCCCAACUUAAUGCUGGCAACAUGCGACGGGGGUUGCGCUCGUUGCGGGACUUAACCCAACAUCUCACGACACGAGCUGACGACAGCCAUGCACCACCUGUGAAGGUGCCCCGAAGGGAGGCCCUAUUUCUAGGGCUUUCCAGUGCAUGUCAAGCCUUGGUAAGGUUCUUCGCGUUGCGUCGAAUUAAACCACAUGCUCCACUGCUUGUGCGGGGCCCCGUCAAUUCCUUUGAGUUUCAGCCUUGCGGCCGUACUCCCCAGGCGGGGCACUUAAUGCGUUAGCGCCGGCACCCAGGGGGUCGCUCCCCCAGGCACCUAGUACCCAUCGUUUACGGCGUGGACUAC